Molecule: long non-coding RNA, 729 nt
Organism: Photinus pyralis (common eastern firefly)
Lineage: Eukaryota; Metazoa; Arthropoda; Insecta; Coleoptera; Lampyridae
Exons: 3
Source: RefSeq, a predicted model, not a curated record
ACCAGCUUUAAUGAAUACCCGGUACAUGGCAGGGACGGACCUAGACAAAAAAAUCGGGGGGGCAGACAUGACAUUUUGCCAACUCAACUGUAAAAAUUUCCUCAAACGGGUAGUAUCUAUUAAGCAUUAAGUGGUAUUUCCAAGUCUAAUAAAUCAUGUAGAAAAUAUCUUGCCCCCCCUUGUCCGUCGCUGGUACAUGGGUGAACUCCACCGGACACUUCUUUACGAAAAACUGUGGCUUCCGGACCUAUUUACUUCUCCUCUAGGAGUGGGAAAUAGAAGUACUUUAAUUUGAUUCGCCGAUAGGGAAACCGAGAUGCCUAUCUUCUUCGCCAGUGACCGACCUUCCGAACUCUGGAAUUGACCGUCUGUCUCCAACUGGCUUGCCUAAGGUUUCCGAAUUUCCGACACCGCAACCGACCGUCCUUGACCAGGAACAAGGAUUGACCAACUCCUGGUAGCGCUUGAGAUUCCGAGUACACACUACAGUCACCGAAAUAUCCGCCGUGACAGCUAAAAUCAAACAGAUUAUAUACCUUAUUAGGGGUACUAUCGCAGAAAUGUUAGUUUGCAAUAAUUUGUUAUUUUAUUGGUUUAAGUAGGUUAAAUUUAAAAAGAAGGAAUUAAGUUAUUACGGUGAUGUUGCAAGCUUUCAAUUAGAAAAAUAAGUUUUAUAUUUCCUAAAUCCUAUGUGUUUUAAUAAAACAUCUGGGGGAGGUUAAUUGUGAA